GCCAGUUUAGAUGUAGUCAAAGAGUGCGUUAAUUACAAAGGCCUCCCAUUGGCUAUAUGAACCCAGGACCUGGAUCAUCCUCUCCUGCAGAGGUUAUUUAAGGAGAGACACAGUGUACAACAUUUGAAACAGCUUGUCAGUUCCUCUGAGGUCAAGACAUCCUUGGACACACAAGCCACUAUGGCCAAGCUGGUGUGUCUGAUGUUGGCCAUUCUUAUUCUAGUAGCAAUCUGCAGUGAGCACACAGUCUAUUCUAAAGGAAGGCAUCUCAAGAACAAGUGUGGCUGCUUUGUUACAGCAGUUAACAGUGUGGUCUGCCCGAGCAGAUUCCUUCCACAGACCGAACAAGAGCUGCGACAGGUUUUACGCUGCCUUUGCUCAAAACAUAAGCAUGAUCGCAAGGUGUUGCAGAAUGAAGUACUGCAGAAGACAUGCAAGAGAAAACCCAUACCCCUAUCUAUUCCCUUGACCUGAGAAGAAGCAAGGAGUUCAUCCCAGACAGUGUUUUGAAAGCCCAGAAGAACCUAUGAUAGAUGCUUGUGCUUCAAAUUUAAAAGGGAUAUACCUAGUGACGUUUUCCACUUUCAGCACUGUCAUGCGAAACAUUUGUACAUAACAUUAAACUUCUCAUAGUACAGGCAAAGCAAAGCAGCAUAAGUGCAAUAACAUUUAAUCUUUCAAACCAAAGGCUUCAGUUAGGACAGUUUUUCAGUCUUAGUAUUUAAGAUUAAGAUUGAUGUGUUGAGUUCUUAAUAUUCUUAAUAUUUAUUUAUUAAGAACCCAACACUUCUGAUUUCCCUCUGCCUUGCUUUACAACAGAGGUCUCCAACCCAAUACUGAAUCACCAAUUUUGAAAGACUCGAACAAUUUAAUUGUACCUAAAGAAGCUGUUGAGUUUCUAAACUGCUUAAUAUAGUAAUCUCUACUUUAAUUUAGAGAUCAGACUGAAAGAUGACAUUGUCACAGCUCUAUAGAUCUUAUAUGCUUCAAGCCCAAUGCUAUGCCAGCUAAGAUUCCUUGAGUUUAAAAAGCCUAAACAGAUUUUUGCUCUUGGCUUUCCUUUAAUUGUACUGUAUUUUUUAACUGCUCAAUAACCUGCAAAUGGUGACUCGAAUGGCCACAGGAUUAGCACAGUCUUUAGAUAACGAGUUAUACGCCUAUGCCUAGAUAUGUUAUAUUUGAAGUUAUAGGCAAGUGUAGAACGUAUCAAGAGGAACACAACAAUUAUUUUUAAUUUUAAAGAUCUUUCAUGUUUUCUGAGAUGUUAUCAUUUAAUCAUAUAUUGUUUUACUUGUGCUAUAGGUACAUGUUAAAAUAAAGCUCUUUACUCUGAGUAGCUGCUUGAAUUUCUGCAGCAUUUCCUAUUUCCUCGUUACAGAGCCAAACUUGAGCGAAGGAACCCUGGCUUUUUGGCUUUAAACAUAUUCGCCUACCUUAGGUGUGUUGUGCACACUGCUUUUUAUCAUGAGCAGGCGUCUCCAGUGGCUAUGCAGAAGUUAUAUCUCAAAUGGUGAAUGGUGCCCUGUGUGUAGCCCCUGUGGACUCAAAAUCCUAAUGUAAUCCUGGAAUAACUUGUGUGACAACUCCAUCUCACAAAGGUGAGGUUUUUUUGUAUGGCUUUUUGCAAACAGCUUAUCGUAACAAAGAAUGAAACUUGAUUUCUGUGCAAUGUCUAUUAGGAUGUAAAUAAAAUUGCUGGUCCCAGGAAUCUGUUGUGCUUACCAGUAUUAUUUUCAUCACAAUCCUGAGAUACAAAAUAAAUAAUGUUCUUCAUCUGUUUAAUGAGAUGUUACUGUA
Long non-coding RNA from Lepisosteus oculatus (spotted gar), 1797 nucleotides. The record is from Ensembl. NCBI's taxonomy places the organism in Eukaryota, Metazoa, Chordata, Actinopteri, Semionotiformes, Lepisosteidae.